GCCCGCCUAGCCCAACGGUAGAGGCGCACGGCCUAGACCCGUGUUGUUCCCGGUUCGAAUCCGGGGGUGGGUA
RNAcentral lists this transfer RNA (73 nucleotides) under Streptomyces uncialis. It matches the Rfam family "tRNA". Rfam says of the family: Transfer RNA (tRNA) molecules are approximately 80 nucleotides in length. Their secondary structure includes four short double-helical elements and three loops (D, anti-codon, and T loops). Lineage: Bacteria; Bacillati; Actinomycetota; Actinomycetes; Kitasatosporales; Streptomycetaceae. The record is from Rfam by way of RNAcentral.